CCUACGGGAGGCUGCAGUGAGGAAUAUUGGUCAAUGGACGAGAGUCUGAACCAGCCAAGUAGCGUGAAGGAUGACUGCCCUAUGGGUUGUAAACUUCUUUUAUAUGGGAAUAAAAUGUUCCACGUGUGGGAUUUUGUAUGUACCAUAUGAAUAAGGAUCGGCUAACUCCGUGCCAGCAGCCGCGGUAAUACGGAGGAUCCGAGCGUUAUCCGGAUUUAUUGGGUUUAAAGGGAGCGUAGGUGGAUUGUUAAGUCAGUUGUGAAAGUUUGCGGCUCAACCGUAAAAUUGCAGUUGAAACUGGCAGUCUUGAGUACAGUAGAGGUGGGCGGAAUUCGUGGUGUAGCGGUGAAAUGCUUAGAUAUCACGAAGAAAUCCGAUUGCGAAGGCAGUUCACUGGACUGCAACUGACACUGAGGCUCGAAAGUGUGGGUAUCAAACAGGAUUAGAUACCCGUGUAGUC
This 460-nucleotide ribosomal RNA is filed under the name uncultured bacterium. RNAcentral describes it as "partial 16S ribosomal RNA". It matches the Rfam family "Bacterial small subunit ribosomal RNA", at positions 338 to 795 of the family's 1533-position model. The record is from RNAcentral.